This 495-nucleotide ribosomal RNA is filed under the name uncultured bacterium. RNAcentral describes it as "partial 16S ribosomal RNA". It matches the Rfam family "Bacterial small subunit ribosomal RNA", at positions 28 to 506 of the family's 1533-position model. The record is from RNAcentral.
GAUGAACGCUGGCGGCGUGCCUAAUACAUGCAAGUCGAGCGAACGGACGAGAAGCUUGCUUCUCUGAUGUUAGCGGCGGACGGGUGAGUAACACGUGGAUACCUACCUAUAAGACUGGGAUAACUUCGGGAAACCGGAGCUAAUACCGGAUAAUAUUUUGAACCGCAUGGUUCAAAAGUGAAAGACGGUCUUGCUGUCACUUAUAGAUGGAUCCGCGCUGCAUUAGCUAGUUGGUAAGGUAACGGCUUACCAAGGCAACGAUGCAUAGCCGACCUGAGAGGGUGAUCGGCCACACUGGAACUGAGACACGGUCCAGACUCCUACGGGAGGCAGCAGUAGGGAAUCGUCCGCAAUGGGCGAAAGCCUGACGGAGCAACGCCGCGUGAGUGAUGAAGGUCUUCGGAUCGUAAAACUCUGUUAUUAGGGAAGAACAUAUGUGUAAGUAACUGUGCACAUCUUGACGGUACCUAAUCAGAAAGCCACGGCUAACUACGU